This 896-nucleotide ribosomal RNA is filed under the name Bacillus anthracis (anthrax bacterium). RNAcentral's name for it is "bacterial SSU rRNA". It matches the Rfam family "Bacterial small subunit ribosomal RNA", at positions 48 to 924 of the family's 1533-position model. The record is from RNAcentral. Lineage: Bacteria; Bacillati; Bacillota; Bacilli; Caryophanales; Bacillaceae.
GCUAUACAUGCAGUCGAGCGAAUGGAUUAAGAGCUUGCUCUUAUGAAGUUAGCGGCGGACGGGUGAGUAACACGUGGGUAACCUGCCCAUAAGACUGGGAUAACUCCGGGAAACCGGGGCUAAUACCGGAUAACAUUUUGAACCGCAGGGAUCGUAAUUGCAAGGCGGCUUCGGCUGUCCCUUAUGGAUGGACCCGCGUCGCAUUAGCUAGUUGGUGAGGUAACGGCUCACCAAGGCGACCAUGCGUAGCCGACCUGAGAGGGUGAUCGGACACACUGGGACUGAGACACGGCCCAGACUCCUACGGGAGGCAGCAGUAGGGAAUCUUCCGCAAUGGACGAAAUUCCGACGGAGCGACGCCGCGUGAGUGAUGAAGGCUUUCGGGUCGUUAAACUCUGUUGCUAGGGAAUAACAACUGCUAGUUGAAUAAGCUGGCACCUUGACGGUACCUAACCAGAAAGCCACGGCUAACUACGUGCCAGCAACCGCGGUAAUACGUAGGUGGCUAGCGGUAUCCGGAAUUAUUGGGCGUAAAGCGCGCGCAGGUGGUUUCUUAAGUCUGAUGUGAAAGCCCACGGGUCAACCGUGGAGGGUCAUUGGAAACUGGGAGACUUGAGUGCAGAAGAGGAAAGUGGAAUUCCAUGUGUAGCGGUGAAAUGCGUACAGAUAUGGAGGAACAACAGUGGCGAACGCGACUGUCUGGGCUGUAACUGACACUGAGGCGCGAAAGCGUGUGGAGCACACAGGAUUACAUACCCUGGUAGACCACGCCGUAAACGAUGAGUGCUAAGUGAUAUAGGGUUUCCGCCCAUUAGUGCUGAAGUUAACGCAUUAAGCACUCCGCCUGGGGAGUACAGCCGCAAGGCUGAAACUCGAACGAAUUGACCGGUGCCCGC